CGAACCUCCGAGGAAUCUCCCUCCUCCUCCUCCGUCCGUCUGCUCCGGCAGCGGCGACUACUCGGACGGUGACGAUGGGCGUGGCUGAUCGAAUGGAGCCAAACAGAAUGACAGCUCCCCGUCGUUCACUACCUUCGAGCUGGAGGAGCUCGACGGCGACCCUUUUCACGCUCUCCUCUUGAACCCGUUGUUCUGCUUGAAGGGACACAACUAUUAGGAUCCAGAAAGAUUUUAUUGAAGAAGUGAUUGGCCUUAAACACUGUGAUUGGGUAAAUAUGUUUCUGAGGUGAUUUAUAUAGGAGGUGACAUAUUACUCCAUCUGGGCCCAGUGGUAGACUUUUAUAAGCUGGAACAUUUCUUAACAACUCA
Molecule: long non-coding RNA, 369 nt
Organism: Musa acuminata subsp. malaccensis (wild Malaysian banana)
Lineage: Eukaryota; Viridiplantae; Streptophyta; Magnoliopsida; Zingiberales; Musaceae
Source: RefSeq, a predicted model, not a curated record